AGCGAACGCUGGCGGCAGGCCUAACACAUGCAAGUCGAACGAACCCUUCGGGGUUAGUGGCGGACGGGGGAGGAACACGGGGGAAGGUGCCUUUAGGUACGGGAUAACUCAGGGAAGCUUGUGCUAAUACCGAAUGUGUCCUUCGGGGGAAGGAUUUAUCCCCGUUAGAGCGGCCCGCGUCGGAUUAGCUAGUUGGGUUAGGUAAUGGCUCACCAAGGCGACGAUCAGCAAAGGGUCUGAGAGGAAGAUCAGCAACAUCGGGACUGAGACGCGGUCGAAAAUCUUACGCGAGGGAGGAGUGGCGAAUCUUGCGAUACCGGGGAAAGGAUGAAGCAGUCAUGCCGCGAGAACGCUGAAGGUCUUAAGAUAGUACAAUUCUUUAAUACGGGACGAUAAUGACGGUACCCGGAGAAGAAGCACCGGCUAACUUCGUG
RNAcentral lists this ribosomal RNA (434 nucleotides) under uncultured bacterium. Its description in RNAcentral is "partial 16S ribosomal RNA". It matches the Rfam family "Bacterial small subunit ribosomal RNA", at positions 29 to 507 of the family's 1533-position model. The record is from RNAcentral.